This 279-nucleotide ribosomal RNA is filed under the name uncultured bacterium. RNAcentral's name for it is "partial 16S ribosomal RNA". It matches the Rfam family "Bacterial small subunit ribosomal RNA", at positions 506 to 784 of the family's 1533-position model. The record is from RNAcentral.
UGCCAGCAGCCGCGGUAAUACGGAGGGUGCAAGCAUUAAUCGGAUUUAUUGGGCGUAAAGAGCGCGUAGGUGGAUUGGCAAGUCAGACGUGAAAGCCCGGAGCUCAACUCCGGAAUUGCAUUUGAAACUGCCAAUCUUGAGGAUAGACGGAGAAGACGGAAUUCCACGUGUAGCGGUGAAAUGCGUAGAUAUGUGGAAGAACACCGGUGGCGAAGGCGGUCUUCUAGUUUAUUCCUGACACUGAGGCGCGAAAGCAAGGGGAGCGAACAGGAUUAGAUA